GACGAACGCUGGCGGCAUGCCUAAUACAUGCAAGUCGAGCGAACAGAUGAAGUGCUUGCACUUCUGACGUCAGCGGCGAACGGGUGAGUAACACGUAAGGAAUCUACCUAUAAGCGGAGGAUAACAUUCGGAAACGGGUGCUAAUACCGCAUAAUAUUUUCUUCCGCAUGGAAGAAAAUUGAAAGACGGCUCUGCUGUCACUUAUAGAUGACCUUGCGGUGCAUUAGUUAGUUGGUGGGGUAACGGCCUACCAAGACGAUGAUGCAUAGCCGACCUGAGAGGGUGAUCGGCCACAUUGGGACUGAGACACGGCCCAAACUCCUACGGGAGGCAGCAGUAGGGAAUCUUCCGCAAUGGGCGAAAGCCUGACGGAGCAAUGCCGCGUGAGUGAAGAAGGCCUUCGGGUCGUAAAACUCUGUUAUAAGAGAAGAACAAAUUGUAGAGUAACUGCUACAGUCUUGACGGUAUCUUAUCAGAAAGCCACGGCUAACUACGUGCCAGCAGCCGCGGUAA
Molecule: ribosomal RNA, 513 nt
Filed under: uncultured bacterium
Lineage: Bacteria
Description: partial 16S ribosomal RNA
Rfam family: Bacterial small subunit ribosomal RNA
Source: RNAcentral